GGAUGUGCUAUUUAGAGGCAGAUCCAUGCGUCUGAAGCUUGGAAGUGAGCCUAGGAGUUUAUAAACAAGUUUACAGUGUCAUUUACCCAAGCUCCUCUCUCUCCAUGAUCUACCUGUUGCUUCUGGUUCCCUGUGGCUUCCUUUGCAAUCCUCCAGACAGAAAACUAACGUUUCAUCUGCCCUGCUUUUCUUUACACUCGCCACAGCUACAAUCAUAUUUCAGGCUUGAAUUUGGUGAAAACAUUCCUCAUGUCUGGGAAAUGAGCAAGAUGGAAACAGAAAGUCAAGGAAAAUGAAGAAAAAAGGGAAUAUUUCCAAACAAAAGAACAAGAUAAAACUUCAGAAACAGAUCUUAAUGAAAUGGGGGAUAAGUGACUUACCUGAUAAAGUGUUCAAAAUAAUUGUCAUAAAGAUGCUCACUGAUGUCAAGAGAACAAUGAGGGAACAAAGUGAGAGUUUCAACAAAGAUAUAGAAAACAUAAUAAAGUACCAAACAAGAAUCUCAAAGCUGCAGACGAUAAUGACUGAACUGAAAAAUUCAAUAGAGGGAUUCAACAGCAGACUAGAUCAAGUAAAAGAAAAGAUCAGUGAAUUCAAAGACAGGGCAGUGGAAUUCAUCCAAUCGGAGGAGCAAAAAGCAAGAAAGAACGAAAAAGAGGGAAGAUAGCUUAACGGACUUAUGGAAUAGCAACAACUGUGGCCCAAUAUAUGCAUCAUAGGGGUCUCAGAAGGAGAAAACAGAGAGAAAGGGGCAGAAAGUUUAUUCAAAAAAAUAAUGGCAGAAAAUUUCCCUAAAACCUGGAGAAAGAAACAAACAUCCAUAUCCAGAAAGCCCAGAGGUUUCAAAUAAGAAGAAUCCAAAGAGAUCUACACCAAGACAUAGUACAACCAAACUGUCAAAAGUUAAAGACAAGGAAAGAAUCUUAAAAACAGCAAGAGAAAACCACUUGUUAUGUACAAGGGAACCUCCAGAAGACUAUCAGCAGAUUUUUCAGCAGAAACUUUGCAGGCCAGAAGGGAGAAGCAUAACAUACUCAAAGUGUUGAAAGAAAGAAAAAAAAUCCCAACCAAGAAUAUGCUACCUGGCAAGGUUGUCCUUCAAAACUGAAGGAGAGAGAAGGAAUUUUCCAAACAAGCAAAAGUUAAAGGAGUUUAUCACCACCAGACUGGCCUUACAAGAAAUGAUACAGGGAGUUCUUCCAGCUGAAAAGAAAAGACAUUAAUUAGAAACAGGAAGACAUAGAAAAGUAUAAAUCCCACUGGUAAAAGUAAAUAUAUAGUUAAAUUCAGAAUACUCUAAUGUUGUAAUGGUGGAUAAAUAACUUAUAAAUCUAGCAUGAAUUUUAAAAGACAAAAGUAUUAAAAAUAACUAUAAUUACAAUAUAAUGCUAAUGGAUACACAAAGUAAAAAAGAUGCAAAUUCUGACACCAAAAACAAAAUAUGGAGACAGAGAGUCAAAAUGUAGAUCUUUAGUAUGUGUUUAAAGUUAAAUUAUUAUCAGCUUAAAAUAGACUGUUACAAAUAUAAGAUGCUUUAUGUAAACCUCAAGAUAACCACAAACAAGAACCUAUAGUAGAUACACAAAAGAUAAAGUGAAAUGAAUCUAAGCAUAUGACUACAGAAAAUCAUCAAAUCAUAAAGGAAGAGAGCAAGAGAAGAAAGGAAUAAAGAAAUUACAAGGGCUAGCCUGGUGGUAUAGUGGUUAAGUUCACUUGCUCCACUUGGGUGGCCUAGGGUUCAUGGGUUCAGGUUCUGAGUGUGGACUUACACACUGCUCAUCAUGCCAUGCUGUGGUGGUGUCCCACAUAUAAAAUAGAGGAAGACCGACACAGAUGUUAGCUCAGGGCCUAUCUUCCUCGCCAAAAAAAAAAAGAGGAAGAAAAGAAAAGAAAUUACAAACUGGCAGAAAACAAUUAACAAAAUGGCAAUAGUAAGUCCAUAUCUAUCAAUAAUAACUUUAAACAUAAAUGUACUAUAUUCUUCAAUCAAAAGAUACAGAGUAACUGAGUGGAUAAAAAAAGAAGACCCAAUGAUACACUGCCUACAAGAGACUCCCUUUAGAUGUAAGGGCACACACAGACUGAAGGUGAAGGAAUGGAAAAAUAUAUUCCACGCAAAUGGAAACCAAAAGAAAGCAGGGGUAGCUAUACUUAUAUCAGACAAAAUAGACUUUAAUCCAAAAACUGUAAAGGAGAAAAAUAAGGUCAUUAUAUAACAACAAAGGGGUCAAUCCAACAAGGGGAUAUAACAUUUGUAAAUAUUUAUGCAUCCAACAUAGGAGCAUUUAAAUAUUUAAGAAAAUAUUAACUGACCAGAAGGGAGAAAAAGACAGCAAUACAAUAAUAUUAGGGAACUUCAAUGCCCCACUUUCAAUAAUGGAUGGGUCAUCCAGCUGUGAGAAGGAAGUAAAUCCUGCCAUUUGUGACAAAAUGGAUGGAUGCUGAGGGCAUUAUGCCAAGGGAAAUAAGCCAGACAAAGACAAGUGCUGCAUAGUAUCACUUAUAUGUGGAAUCUUAAAAAAAAAAAGUCAAAACUUAUAGAAACAGAGAGCAGAAAAGUGGUUUCCAGGGACAAAAGGGGUUGAGGAAAUAGGGAGAGGUUGGUAAAAAGUUACAAACUUUCAGCUAUGAGAUGAAUUUGGUCUGAGGAUCUAAUAUAAAGCAUGGUGAUUAUUCUUGAUAACACUGUAUUAUAUAGUUGAAAUUUGCUAAGAGAGUAAAACUUAAAUGUUCUCACAAAAAAAAUAAAAUAAACAUAUGAGGGGAUAGAUGUGUUAACUAUCUAGAUGAGGAGAAUCUUUUCACAACGUAUACAUAUAUCAUCACAAUACAUAUUUUAAAAAUCUUAUAAUUUUUAUUGUGUUUGUUGAGGAACACUGGCCCUGAGCUAACCUCUGUUGUCAAUCUUUCUUUCCUUUGCUUGAUGGAGAUUGUUGUCGAGCUAACAUCUGUGCCAAUCUUCCUCCAUUCCAUAUGUGAGAUGUCACCACAGCAUGGCUUGAUGAAUUGUGUGUAGGUCUACACCUGGGGUACCCACAAACCCUGGGCUACCGAAGCGGAGAGUGUGAACUUAACCACUAUGCCACUGGGCCAGCUCCAAUCUUAUAAUUUUAUAUAUAAAUUAUACUUCAAUAAAGCUGAAAUUUAAAAGAAAGAAAGAAAAUCAAAGAAUCUGCAGUGAUAAUGCUUUUUGGAAAUAUUAAGGAAGAGGUCCAAACACUAGCAUGAAGGAUUCAUUAGAUGUCGACAGUUGUAAAGGAAUUCUGUUAGUAUCCACAACAGGGUGUGUGUCAGUCUUUGUCCAUUUCCAGCAGCCAUUGAUGAGUGAAGGACUACAUAGUCUCUCAUGGGUGGCCAUGACUUUCCCCUCUAGAGCCGACCAGAGCUGAUCACCAUGAUCUGGGGAUAUAAUUGUGAUGUUUCUUGGGCUGUAGAGCAGUGAAAAUUACACCGUUGCUAACGAGCAGUCAGCAAAACACCAGAGAACCAAGAAACAUAUGUUUUCUCAGGCUCAAACCUCUGGAGAAUCUCCCUAGAUCCAUAAUGUGGUGAUCAUUCUGAAGACUCUAAUAUGCUGAAACCUCUGCCCAAAGUGGUUAGAGGCACAUAGUUUGCAUAUCUUGAUAACGUUUCUAGAAAUCUAAAGUUGUGAUAACUUUAUUUAGCUCGUUCCAAUGUUAAGAUCUUUUCCUGUCAUACCUCUUUGAUCUAAAAUAUUGCCGUACUGUCAGCUCAGCUCAUUUCCUUCUCUUUGUGUUACCCAGAGUCUAACACAUUUUUAUCUUCGUGUAUGAAAAGUUAAAUAAAUUAAAGUAAAUCUCUAUGCAUUGUGGCUGCCCCAAAAUGAAAAUCUCAUACGGACCUAAUCACCUCCAUUGAAACCUAACCUAUCUGGUGUCCCAUCCAUUCUCAAGACCUUUAUUUACUACAUAUAUUAAUUCCUGAAGAUUUGCGUAAAGCCUCUUCAAUCUGAGGUAGCACUUGCAUUUUGGUGGCUCAUUUUGCAGCCUCUACAUCUUAUUCCAAAGAACUAACUCUGGGAGUUUGAGGAGACACAUUUUAAAGAACCCCAAACACUAUCCUAUUACAUUCUUUUAUCAUGCCUGGAUAAACGUCUACUCUGGCCCACCUAUAAUAAAGAAAGUAGACUAUUUUUUCAACAAAGGUGACUUGACAGUAUUUCCAACCCUUUAUCUUCUGUUCUCUUUCAAGACACCCCUAAGUCACCUAUUCGCACACAUCUCUUCUUUUGGAAAGAAGAGUUAUGGUACAGGGCAAGACUGUACUGAUGCUAAGACUUUCAGACUACUAUUGAGUUUCUUUCCUCAGCGUUUGAUGUUUCACUGGCUGGCUGGCUCAGUAUUCACGAUGCUUUGUCAGUGUCUCAAGUUAUGUUUGGAAAAGAACUUGUCCAAAUUCUCCAUUUCUCCUCCACUCACUGCAAUUGGCGGUGGCAUGGCAAUUCUCUUCAAGGUAAACAUGAAGAAACCCGAAGGCGAUAAUACUCGCCUUUCAGUUGGAGUAAUUACCUGGCCUCUACCAACUGCAGACUUCUGCGUGUUGAUAGGACUCAUUCGACAGGUUCUUUUUUAAAAUAGGUAAUGAUCUUUAAAGGAUGAAACCCUACUUCAUAACAUGCAAUUUUGCUAACCACUCUGUUUAGAAAACCGGGUUCCCUCUGGUUUCCCAGCGCUGGUAGCUCCGCUUGACGCAUGAAGUUGGGGCUGCCUCGGUCAUGCCACUUUAGAUUACUGGAUCUCACAGGAUGCUACAAGGCAGACACACCCCAGGCUGACUCACUGAGUGGGAAGUUUAAAAAGAUGGUUUUCCUCAGCCAUCAAUUAGAUAAACCACAUUUUCCAGGAGAAAAACAGCAUCUUGAAAAGCUCUUUACAAACAAAGCUCUCUUGCUCAGAAUGCUUUCGGUCAUGUUUUCUUGUGAAGGGAAGUAUGACUUUAACCUUAAUUGCACUGACAAAUUAGCAAGUAAAGUAUAAUGCCACCCUUUCCCCUCUUCCUUCCUUCCUUCUUCUUUUUUUUUUUUUUCCUCAGAAGGAGACACUUUCAUGAUUUUAGCUUUGGUAAAAUUAGAGCAUUCUUCCUCUUGGCCACUUCCCUCAAAUUUGUGGUUUUGACCAACCACUUGGUGAGCAAGUUAUAGACGCAGGCCUGAAUUCUCUUUCCUCUGCCCCACUUACACUUCUUUGUACAGUUUUCCCUACCUUUUUUGCGACCUUCUUGAAAAUACACUGAGGAAAGGACAUUUGUAGAUUGUACCAUUUUGAAAAUGGCGAUUUGGAUUGAAGAUGUAUGUCAGGAAGAAUUAAGCACUGAAAAGCGAUUUGAACCUCCUCGCCUCAUCUUUUUCCAGCGCUGGCUGCACGCGGAAAGUACUGGAUAAAUGUCUCCCACUGAACUGUAAGAUUCCCAAGGACAAAGGACGUGUUAGUGGUUUCCAUCGCCUGUAUACAGUGUACCUAACACACAUUGAGUAAUAUUUUCAAAAGCAGGCCAUCCUCAUCAUGUAAAAGAAUAAAUAAGAGAAAAACCAUGCAAUUGAAUAUUUUGCACAGAACCUUAUUUCCUUACUCACCUGAAACUUGAGACCAAGGCGACACAGAUAUUCUGGGCCUGAGGACCCCUUGCACAUAAUUUUGAUAGAGACAUCUCUUGGAUCUGAGACCAGUAGGUGAUUAUCACUAUCCCCUUGCUGCACUCCUCUUGUGAGGGAAAGCUGCUGUUGGGUAUGUGGAUGCUAGGGAUCCGGGAACACGAAGGCAUCACCCUGCUUGCAGGUCUUGUAGAACUUUGUCUGCACUGGAGUCAACUUACAGCAGCCAAAGAAACUAGACGGAUCCUGGUGGAUGACAGUAGUCUACUGCAAACUCCACCAAGAGAUAAGAGAGAAGAGCCGCAGAGACAGACACAAACAGUGAGGAGAACGCAUGUGAAGACACAGCCAUGUGACAACAGAGGCAGAGAUGGGAGUUAUAUAGCUGUAAAUUAAAGAACACAAAGGAUUGCUGACAACCACAAGAAGCUAUGAGAGACAGCAUAGCCCUGCCAAGACCUUGACUCUAGACUUCAGGCCUGAAGAACUGUGAAAGAAGAAUUUUCUGUUAUUGUAAGUCAUCCAGUUCAUGGCAGUUUGUUACUGUAGCCCUAGGAAACUGAGACAGGACCACUUUCACUCUUGGCAGGGGCAGCCAUUUAUUUCAUCUAGAACUGAUGCAUAUUGUGAGUAUAGUUUGCCUUUCCUGCCUGCAGGACCUUGGCCCGCACAACUGAAGGCAUACAGUGAUUGGCCAACACAGAACAGAGACCACUACCUAACAUUGUCUCGGACCAAGGGCCUCACUUUACAGCCAAGAUGGUACAGCAAUAGACACAUUUCUAUGGGAUCCAAUUGGUCGUAUCACAGAACACUACCAAGCAUAUAGUGUCCUCCUAGAGCAACUGAAUGGCUUUUUGAAGGUACAGCUGAGGCAUCGACUUGAGAAUGAUGCCUUAAAAAGAUGGGAUGCCAUCCUCCAGGAUAUAUCUCUGCAACCUGUAGGUCUAGAGUUCCUGGUCCCCAGAUGGGGAGUGUUUCCACUAAGAAAACAGCUAGAGUUUGAUUGAGCUUUAAACUACAGGUACUGCCCAAUCCCUGAAGACCCCUUCUAUCAAGAGAACAGCAGACAAGAAAAGGGGAUAACUGACUUUAAUCAUCUUCAGGAGGAGGUGGGGCUGCUGAUAUACGACGCAGACAAGGAAGAAUACCUUUGGCACCUAUGUGAACCACUAUAUCAUCUCUUGCAUCUCCCUUGCCAAAUUUUGACAGUAAACGGACAAGUGCAGGAGCCAUAUCCUAAGAAGGCCAUGAUAAUUAGAUCACAUCUUUAGGGGAUAAGGGGCUGCGUCAUGCCUUCUGUAAGUCACUGAGACCAACAGAAGUGCUAGUAGGGGGUGAGGGGAAUCUAGAAAAUGUGGUGGAGAAGGGGAAUUAUGAGUUACAAGCUUGAGUAACUUGAGUAAUUAGUUACUUGAGUAAUUAGGUGCAAUCACCAAACUUCCUCUUGUAAAUUUCCCCAGAAAAGAGAACAAGCAGAAUCCCGAUGCUGUAGUGCAGCACCCAAAUCCACCACGGCACUCAUUCCCCGAGCUGCCUGGAGUGUUGACUGCUGACAGGUUAUAGUUGACUCUCUCUGGAAGAAUUGCUUUUGGCCGAAGGGAGCUGCCUUACCCAAUGUGAUAUCAUAUUCUCUUCGUGGAAGUAGUCCAGAUGCAACAUUUGGUAGAUGUGGGGGUUAAAAGGCCUGGCCCCUUUACCCAAUUUGGGACAUCUCUGAAGAGCCCACCAGCUCCAGAGCUCCCCAUGAUAUCCACCGAGGCCUCUGAUGAACCCGCACCACGGUUCAACUUCUCCCUCUACCCCACCCUACUUGUCUCACUCCUUCUCAGGUAUUGACUGCAAGGACAUAAACUUCUGCACAUAAAUUCCCAUCUCAGAGUCUGUUUCCCAGGGAACCCAAGCCAAGACAAGGGUUUACUGUGGAACUUUAGCAGCUGAUCCUAAAAUGUAUAUGCAAGUGAAAAAUCCAGGAAUAAUCAAGAAACUCCUCAAGAAGAACAGAGUUGGGAAAUGGGUGGUGGUGCUGGAGGGACCUGCACUAUCAGACAUCAAGACUUGUCAUAAAGAUGUGGGAAAUUAAAUGUAUACCUUUGCAACAUAAAAACACAGAUAAACAACUAAUGGAGAACUGAACAUAGACCCAAACAUAGACGAAAGCUUGAAUCGUGAGAGCGGAUCUCAGGGAUCAUUGAAGGAAAGAUGGACUGUUCAGUAAUUGUGUUGUGAAAAUUCACUGUUUCAUACUAUAUGCAAAACUAAAAUCCAAGUGGAUUAGUGACUUAAACGUAGAAGAUAAAACUAUAAACUUUUAGAUGAGAGCAUAAGAGAGUAUCUUUAUCACAUCAGGGUUGGGAAGGAUUUCUUAAACAAGACACAAAAAAGCAUAAGCCAUAAAAGGAAAAAUUAAUGUUUGACUAUAUUAAAAUUAAGGACUUCUUGUCAUCAAAAGUCCCCAUGAACAAAAUGAAAAACUAAUUCACAAACUAGAAAAAUAUAUUUGAAAUUUAUACAGCUAUAAAGGAUUACUGUCUAGAAUGUAUAAAGAAACCCUACAGACCAAUAAGAAAAAGUAAAUCCUCCAGUUUUGAAAUGAAAGACACGAGCAGGUAUCUUUUACCACAUUAAUAUAAAUCUUUAAAAAGCAAUUUAUAAUAAAAUGAGAAGUGUCUAAAAAUUUAUACACAAGAUAUACACACGUUUGGCCAGGGAAGGUGUUUGUUGGUUUUCAGACUAUAAAUGUAGACUAACACUCAUAUAUUUUGCUCAUCUACGUACAGUUCUUGAUACUUUUCCAGUGAUUUCAAUCUUCACUAAAACCCCAUCUUAAAAAAUAUUCUUAACAUGCUAUUUAACUAUUAAGCAAAAAUUGGCUUCAUCUCUACUAUUCAAGCACAAUUCUUAAAAGAAUUAAAAUUAACUAAUUGAAAUUCUUAAUCUUUAAUUAAAAUUAAUUACAAAUUAGAAUUCUUUAAUGUGUGUGUAAUAGUUGUGAAAAGGUAUUUUAUAUAUUUAUACACUAUAAAUAUUGGAGCUUUUUACCGAAGUAAAAUUGACAUACAAUAUUAUAUUAAUUUCAGAUUUACAACAUGGUGCUUCAACAUUUAUAUACAUUACAAAAUGAUCAUCACAAAAAGUCUAGUUACAAUCUGUCCCCAUAAAAUGUUAAUACAAUAUUAUUGUCUAUAUUCCCUGUGCUGUACAUUACAUCCCCAUGAC
This 8830-nucleotide long non-coding RNA is filed under the name Equus caballus (horse). RNAcentral describes it as "lncRNA (ENSECAG00000054524.1)". Lineage: Eukaryota; Metazoa; Chordata; Mammalia; Perissodactyla; Equidae. The record is from RNAcentral.